CUGCUGCCUUCCGUAGGAGUUUGGACCGUGUCUCAGUUCCAAUGUGGGGGACCUUCCUCUCAGAACCCCUAUCCAUCGAUGCCUUGGUGGGCCGUUACCCCGCCAACAAGCUAAUGGAACGCAUCCCCAUCGAUGACCGAAAUUCUUUAAUAGUUCUACCAUGCGGAAGAACUAUGCCAUCGGGUAUUAAUCUUUCUUUCGAAAGGCUAUCCCCGAGUCAUCGGCAGGUUGGAUACGUGUUACUCACCCGUGCGCCGGUCGCCA
RNAcentral lists this ribosomal RNA (264 nucleotides) under uncultured bacterium. RNAcentral describes it as "partial 16S ribosomal RNA". The record is from RNAcentral.